Long non-coding RNA from Onychostruthus taczanowskii (white-rumped snowfinch), 4582 nucleotides. RefSeq lists it as uncharacterized. The transcript has 4 exons. The record is from RefSeq and is a predicted model, not a curated record. NCBI's taxonomy places the organism in Eukaryota, Metazoa, Chordata, Aves, Passeriformes, Passeridae.
GCUCCAUAGCUAGAUACCUGGAAGACUAGAGCACAAGUCAAUGUGCAUAUGCCCUUGUCUGAAGGUGGCAGCUGAAGAAGGCAGAAAAUAAGAUUAGUUGCAGUCUUUCCUUUCCUUUGUGUGGUACAUGUCUUGAAGGAACUUGUAGAAUCUUAAUGUGUGUCCUGGAAUAACUUCUUGCUACAGACUCACCCUCAAAGCCACAAGGCUAUAAUGGAGUCCAGCUGUUCUCUCCAAAUCCAUCCAUCAGCAGCACAAGAAGGUGAAGAAGGCAAAUGGUGACUGCCUGAGAGGAGAAAGAGGGCAGCAGGGUGAGGGAUGACUGCUUGCUGUGGAGGAUCAGGAGCAGGGAAAUAUGGCUCCCAGAGAUGACCAAGGUCAAGCUUGGCUGAAGGCUCAGGUUACAACUUGCUGAUCCAAACCUAACUCAGUUGUGGUACAGUUUGUUGCUGCAAGACAAUACUGGCAGAAGAACAAAUGGAUCCAAUGAAUAAAUUCAGCCUGAUAAUUAGAAGACAGUUUUUAGCCAUCUGGAAAAGAAGGCAGAAGGUUAUGGAACAGCCUUCAUAAGAGUAUUGGAAUGAAAUGGCUGAAUUAUUUUGAAGAUGAAGCUUGAGAAUUUUCUGCAUUAAACUUUUCAGGAUAAUCAUCUGCAACGAUGCAGGGGGUGGGGGCAGAAAAAGAAAAGCUUGUGCUGUGGUGUUCAACCCUUUGUGCAAUAAGAGAGAAUGAGAUGCUGGUCCAUAACGAUGAACAUCUGUGUUACGGAGUACAGAAGAUGAAUGUGGAGGCCAGGAACAGGAUGGACAUGUAUCACUUCUCCCCACUAAGCAGAGGUGGGAAAAUGCAUUGUAAGCAACUAAAAAGGAAACGAAUUGCCUAUAACAAUUCAAGGAUUGAUUUGAAAUAGUUAUUGAUUUGAUAUUGCCUUUCACCUGCAUGAGGGAAGCUGAUUAUACUUUGAAGACUGAAACUGGUUUGUUUUGAUUUGAUAGAUUUCCAUUUAGCCAGGCUAGCUUUUCUUGGUCCCUUUUGUAUCCCCCCCAUCUGGCAACCUCCUAGGUGGACAGAGGUGCUCCAGGUAAUGUGAUCAGGGGCAGUAAGUGUGUGAAAAGUGGAAGUGGGAAUUAGUAAGGUACCAUGUGAAAGCUCAUUGGCCUCCCAGAACUGUGUUCCAGAAAUGACAAAAGCCAUCCAUCUUGUGGGAGCAGACCCUUUGGAUUUGCUGACAGUAAUAAUUCCACCCCUAACUCUCCAGUAAUGCAUUAGCAUUAACAGUAAUUUUUGCCUCUAGACAGGCUCUGCAGUACAGCAUGAUGGUUCCUACCCUGUAAUUGUAGGAUCCUCAUUAAUCAGAAAGAAUAUUAUGACAUUGUGAGCUCACAAGAAAGACAAUUCAUGACUGACAUAAUAAAGGCCUAAAUUAUGCUGCUUUGAUGAUUGGAGGUGCAAUUUUUUUUUCUCUUGUGAAAAUAGGAUUUAGCAGCUGUAUGAAAAAAAAUCUGUAUAAUGAAAGUAGGGAGCAUUGAGAGGCAAGCAACACCAGCUUUAUCUAAAUGAGACCUUUAUUUCAAAAGGAAAUUAAAAUUUCAAAGCUGGUAGUGGUUUUUUUAAUUGAUAAACCAGAAUUUAAAUCAGGAUUUUGAGGAAGAACUAUGUGAGAAGCUUAUUGCUGCAGCACUGUAUUUAGUAUUUUCUACUAUUACCCUUUAUAAUUACCGAAAUUUAUAUAUUGUUUUGGCCAGCUUCCAAAAUGUGCUCUGACAUAUAUGAAAUGAUUAAUACUGAAAUGCAUCUCACAAAUUUAAUGCAAGUAUAUAUAGACCUAUAUUCAUUAGGAGCCAAAGAUUGUAAAUUAUAAAUGAAGAAGAGCACAAAAAAGAAAAACUGUUAAAUCCCAGUUUCUUCUUCCACUGAAGGUGUGUGGACAAAUUCAUUCAUUUCUUAGAGUCAGCCUGAAGGCUCUUUAAAUUAGCACUGCUUUCUGUGAAAGCAAUCCAUUGGGAACCCAGCAUCCCUUAAAGACAGAGGACUGGAGACUGAAGGGUGCUGAGGACGUGGUGGGCCCCAGAGGAGGGCCUUGCCUUGUGUGGCUGUAUGUGAUUGGCUCAGUGUGCUCUGAAGUGCUGUGAUUAACAGGGAAAUUCAGCAAAACUGUGGUUUUUCUUCAGGGAUUCCUUGCUCCAGAACAGGCUGACUGCAAUGCUCAUGAUCCAAGUAAACAAUAACUUAAACAAGCAUUUAAGAUUCUGGGAGAGCCCCCAAAAUCCCUCCUGAGCUGAGCUCCUCUCAUGCACUAGGGUUAAAGGGUUAAAUUACUUACUCCAGGCACUCGUGUCUAUACAUAAGUAUUUACCUAUGUUUAAGUAUAGCCCUGACUGCUCAGACAGAUUUCUUCUGAGUGCCUUAAAAAUUACUCCGUCUUUUCUGGAAAAUAUGAUAGUUGAGGAAAAACAAGGGAAAAAAAGUUAUUUUUGAGUAUUACACCAUCUUUUCCCCAGAUGAAAUAUUCUGCAUGCUUCUUCCUUGACCAUUGUUUUUGUUUGUUUGAGAUUGUGACAUGUAGAAGAGUCAAAAUUAGCCAUUGAGCAUAACUGAUGGGGAAAAUAGCAAUUUUAGUUAAAAAAUAUUUCCUGAGAUAUUUUUGGUGGUGGUAGUACAUAAAUGAUUAAAAACAAGUGUGUAUACAGUUUCUUUCAGGAAUGAUGCCAGGAUAGUUCAUGAAAUUCUUGUUUUCUUCGUGGCUCAUCCCCUGACUUAAUGAUUCUGUGCACCCUCUGGCACUACCUAGGAUGCAAUAUGAGGGGAUACCUAAAAUUUCAUUUGUCUUUAAAUUUAAGACUAGACUGGAUUUUAGACAUUAAUUCACAAAGGUAUUUUGUCUUCCUAUGGCCACAGGGGAGUGAUUAAGUAGGAACAGCUACGCAGUGCCAGAACAAGUUAGACGUGUCCACUUUAGGAGCUGCUGGCUUUGCCCUGACUGCUUUUGAAGCCAAUCUCCCAGCUGCCCACGUAACUGUGCUGGGUUUGCACUGGGCAGCAGCCCCAGAGGGUGCAGACUGAACCUUCCAAAAAGAUUCACCCAGAAGUUGAGCUUCUUAUACUCAGGGACCAGAAUGGUGUUAAAUUGACCAAAACUUUCCUUAAAAUUCAUGCAGUGGGUAUUCAGGUUUUCAGCAUCAGAGAUUUUGUACUGUAAAUCUGUUCCUGUGGGGAUGUGCAACUUGUAUCAAAGAUACAGGAUACUAUCUCCAAAGACACUGCCUUGGCUCUUACUUUACACUGAAAUCCUAUGGUAUGGUGGUACGUCAAAUUGUGCUGGGUGUCUCUGUAAAUACCAUUAAGAAGAUAUACUCAAUAUCUGUUUGUUUGUUUGUUUUUAAUAUACCACUGCCAUUUAUUUAUAACUCAAAUUCCUGCAGUUGUAUUUUUGCUGCCUUCAGGACUGUACCAUCUGGAGUGAUCUUCAGUCUCAGCCAUUUCUUUAGCUCAAACAUUCGUUCAUUCUUGGGGGAGCUCUCCAGAAGUGCACAUUACUUGGGCUGCAAGAAUUCUGUGCCUGUGUCAAUGAUCACAUACAGAUGGUGUGAAAACACUGGGAUCCAGUUGGUUCCCAUGGUAUUGAGACAAAAUUACAUGGAAUGGAGAAUUCCUUCUGAGAGACUAAAAACAUGAAGAUAUUUCUAUUAAAAUAUCAGUCUCUGAUUUUUUGUUAUAUUUGGCCUAUCCUAGAAAUUCAUGAAUCAGACUCUUGUGAGAGGCAGCCACUUUUGCUUUUUUCAGCUCUUCUUGGAGGGAGCUGCCAUGUUUCGUCACACUGACCCGGGGUCAAAGAAACAUAGGACCAAAAAAUGUUCAUAUUCAGAUUCACCUUGAAGAGUCUCAUGGCAAAGGCCUCAUAUUCAAAACUUUAUCUAGAAAGGUGGAUUUAAUGAAAUACCAUAGAAACAACGAAAUCUAUUUUGAAGUUAUAUUUAAAAUCAUGACAUAUUUUUGUUAGUUUGAAAGAUACUUAAAAUUAAGUAUGCAUAUGAAUUCAAAAUAUUUAAGUCUCCAAAAUGAAAAAUUGUUUCUGUCAUUGAAAAUGAUGAAUUUUUCCAAAUUGCCCAACUGUGCAGGCUUGCAUAAUGCCACUAAAAUAGCCCAAAUGAAAACUUACAAUGAUGCAGUUGUGUUGGUUUUAUUUUUUUCCUCUGUGAGUGGAAAUUGAUUUUCUCCAAUCUCUUCGAAUAUAUUGUGUGCUGCUUAAUGACCAGUAUUACAGAUGUCAGAGAGAGAUUCACCAAAAUGCUAAAAAUCAUACAAAGAGUGUAAGAAUUCAAGCAGGAAUGAUUCAUAUUGGUGGUGGUAUCUGCAGCUCUACAUAUGUCUGUUCUGCCUACUUGCGCUUCUAAACACUGAAGUUCAAGCUAUAUUGAUAAAACAUGGAUUUUAAUGAUAAUUUUGUUUUUAGGGGUUGUACCUGUAUGUGAUCAUGUUUUAGUAAUAGGAUUAUUUCAUUUUAUUCAAGUAUUGUGAUGUAUAAUAUUAAUUAAUUAAAUUGUAUUAUGUACUAAUAAACAUGCUAACAGUGAUCAUAUGC